UAACUGAAGAGUUUGAUCAUGGCUCAGAUUGAACGCUGGCGGCAGGCUUAACACAUGCAAGUCGAGCGGGGGAAGGUAGCUUGCUACCGGACCUAGCGGCGGACGGGUGAGUAAUGCUUAGGAAUCUGCCUAUUAGUGGGGGACAACAUCUCGAAAGGGAUGCUAAUACCGCAUACGUCCUACGGGAGAAAGCAGGGGAUCUUCGGACCUUGCGCUAAUAGAUGAGCCUAAGUCGGAUUAGCUAGUUGGUGGGGUAAAGGCCUACCAAGGCGACGAUCUGUAGCGGGUCUGAGAGGAUGAUCCGCCACACUGGGACUGAGACACGGCCCAGACUCCUACGGGAGGCAGCAGUGGGGAAUAUUGGACAAUGGGGGGAACCCUGAUCCAGCCAUGCCGCGUGUGUGAAGAAGGCCUUAUGGUUGUAAAGCACU
Molecule: ribosomal RNA, 431 nt
Filed under: Acinetobacter baumannii
Lineage: Bacteria; Pseudomonadati; Pseudomonadota; Gammaproteobacteria; Moraxellales; Moraxellaceae
Description: bacterial SSU rRNA
Rfam family: Bacterial small subunit ribosomal RNA
Source: RNAcentral